This 440-nucleotide ribosomal RNA is filed under the name uncultured bacterium. RNAcentral describes it as "partial 16S ribosomal RNA". It matches the Rfam family "Bacterial small subunit ribosomal RNA", at positions 338 to 795 of the family's 1533-position model. The record is from RNAcentral.
CCUACGGGAGGCAGCAGUGGGGGAUAUUGCACAAUGGGGGAAACCCUGAUGCAGCGACGCCGCGUGUGGGAAGACGGUCCUCUGGUUUGUAAACCACUGUCCCCAGGGACGAAGAUGACGGUACCUGGGGAGGAAGCUCCGGCUAACUACGUGCCAGCAGCCGCGGUAAUACGUAGGGAGCAAGCGUUGUCCGGAUUUACUGGGGGAAAAGGGAGCGUAGGCGGGAUGGCAAGUUGGGUGUUAAAUCUACCGGCUCAACUGGUAGUCGCACUCAAAACUGCUAUUCUUGAGUGAAGUAGAGGCAGGUGGAAUUCCUAGUGUAGCGGUGAAAUGCGUAGAUAUUAGGAGGAACACUAGUGGCGAAGGCGGCCUGCUGGGCUUUUACUGACGCUGAGGCGCGAAAGUGUGGGGAGCAAACAGGAUUAGAUACCCUAGUAGUC